CGCCGCGGUUAUACGAGAGACUCAAGCAGAUAGGCAAACGGCGUAAAGCGUGGCUAAGGGUUUGACAUAAAAUAAAGCAGAACAUCCCCAGCACUGUAAUACGUACAGCCGGGGCCAAAGAAGCACGUCUACGAAAGUGGCUUUACCACAACCCCACCCACGAAAGCUAAAAAA
This 174-nucleotide ribosomal RNA is filed under the name Parapercis bicoloripes. RNAcentral describes it as "partial 12S rRNA". The record is from RNAcentral. Lineage: Eukaryota; Metazoa; Chordata; Actinopteri; Uranoscopiformes; Pinguipedidae.